Molecule: ribosomal RNA, 253 nt
Filed under: uncultured bacterium
Lineage: Bacteria
Description: partial 16S ribosomal RNA
Rfam family: Bacterial small subunit ribosomal RNA
Source: RNAcentral
UACGAAGGGGGCUAGCGUUGCUCGGAAUUACUGGGCGUAAAGGGCGCGUAGGCGGACAGUUAAGUUGGGGGUGAAAGCCCGGGGCUCAACCUCGGAAUUGCCUUCAAUACUGGCUGUCUUGAGUACGGGAGAGGUGUGUGGAACUCCGAGUGUAGAGGUGAAAUUCGUAGAUAUUAGGAAGAACACCGGUGGCGAAGGCGGCCCACUGGUCCGGUACUGACGCUGAGGUGCGAAAGCGUGGGGAGCAAACAGG